GUGGGGAAUCUUAGACAAUGGGCGCAAGCCUGAUCUAGCCAUGCCGCGUGAGCGAUGAAGGCCUUAGGGUUGUAAAGCUCUUUCGUGGGGGAAGAUAAUGACUGUACCCCAAGAAGAAGCCCCGGCUAACUCCGUGCCAGCAGCCGCGGUAAUACGGAGGGGGCUAGCGUUGUUCGGAAUUACUGGGCGUAAAGCGCACGUAGGCGGACUGGAAAGUCAGGGGUGAAAUCCCGGGGCUCAACCCCGGAACUGCCUUUGAAACUCCCAGUCUUGAGUUCGAGAGAGGUGAGUGGAAUUCCGAGUGUAGAGGUGAAAUGCGUAGAUAUUCGGAGGAACACCAGUGGCGAAGGCGGCUCACUGGCUCGAUACUGACGCUGAGGUGCGAAAGCGUGGGGAGCAAACAGGAUUAGAUACCCGGGUAGUCC
This 425-nucleotide ribosomal RNA is filed under the name uncultured bacterium. Its description in RNAcentral is "partial 16S ribosomal RNA". It matches the Rfam family "Bacterial small subunit ribosomal RNA", at positions 354 to 796 of the family's 1533-position model. The record is from RNAcentral.